GCUGUGACAGAUUUAGUUCACUGACUUGUAGGUGGCAGGAGAAAUAAUUACAUAUGCAUGCAAACAAUCUAUAUUUUUAAUGUGGUGUUGAGUUUUAAGAAGGUCAGUCUGGAAUAAAACACCUCAAGGCUAAAAAGAAGAUCAGCAUUACAUGUACAUACACACACACAAAGACACACACACACCCCUUCACCCUUCAAAUGUCACAUUAGAAUCGACAUCUUUAGAUUUUUUACCAAGUUAUACAUUUCUAAAGUGACUUUUCCAGCAAAAAUCACUCUGAUGGACAGGUCACACAGCAAGUUAGUUUAUGAAACCUCUAAUCCACCACACUGUAACAACCAGGGUAAAGGUAGCUGGGUAAUUAGUUCCCCCACCACAAGUUAAAAACAAAAGUUAAACGAAUGAAAAACAUUGUGUAUUCAUCAGCAUUGAGCCAAAUAAAGCUGCUGUGGUAGAGAGUGUGCAAAGAGGGCAAUAAGAAUUCCUCCCAUCCCUCUACACACAUCCCCUUGCCAUGGGAUUACACCACUCCUCCCAGUAAGUGAGGAAAUCCACUUCCCUUCCCCUGGAAUCUGAGCCUCCUUUGUGAUGCGCUCUGACCAACUGAAGGAGGUGGAGUGGUGCUUCAAGCCUGGGCCUCAAGAGUCCUUGCAGCUCCCUGCCAGCUAUGUUGGAACGCUGCUGCAGCCAAGACACAAAGUAAGGCGAGCCUCCUUGAGAAAGAGGAAUCAGUGGAAAGAGAGGGCCAGCCAACAGCCAGCAACAACCAGCAUGCAUGCGAGCGAGACUGUCUUAAAAUAGGUAGCCCCAGCCCAGCUGGCCACGGGACUGGCCCUAAGCGAGACCAGAACUGCCCAGCCGAGCCAAACUCAAAUGGCCAACCCACAGAAUUAUAUUGUAUGGAUUUAAUUCAGCAAGUGAGAUACUCACCGUUCUAAAAGGAAGAGUUUAUGGAGGCCUCAUCCAAUCAGUUGAAGGCCUUAAGAGAAAAAACUGAAGCUUUCCAGAAAAGGAGGAAUUCUGCCUCAACACUGCAGCAUUAACUUCUGCCUGAGUUUCUACCCUACUGGCGUGUUCUACAUAUUUUGGACUUGUCAGAGCCCACAAUCAUGUGCACCAAUUCCUUAAAAUAAAACU
Molecule: long non-coding RNA, 1140 nt
Organism: Equus caballus (horse)
Lineage: Eukaryota; Metazoa; Chordata; Mammalia; Perissodactyla; Equidae
Source: RefSeq, a predicted model, not a curated record